CACGUAGUUAGCCGUGGCUUUCUGAUUAGGUACCGUCAAGACGUGCACAGUUACUUACACAUUUGUUCUUCCCUAAUAACAGAGUUUUACGAUCCGAAGACCUUCAUCACUUACGCGGCGUUGCUCCGUCAGGCUUUCGCCCAUUGCGGAAGAUUCCCUACUGCUGCCUCCCGUAGGAGUCUGGACCGUGUCUCAGUUCCAGUGUGGCCGAUCACCCUCUCAGGUCGGCUACGUAUCGUUGCCUUGGUAAGCCAUUACCCCACCAACUAGCUAAUACGGCGCGGGUCCAUCUAUAAGUGAUAGCAAAACCAUCUUUCACUUUAGAACCAUGCGGUUCUAAAUAUUAUCCGGCAUUAGCCCCGGUUUCCCGGAGUUAUUCCAGUCUUAUAGGUAGGUUACCCACGUGUUACUCACCCGUCCGCCGCUAACGUCAAAGGAGCAAGCUCCUUAUCUGUUCGCUCGACUUGCAUGUAUUAGGCACGCCGCCAGCGUUCAUCCUGAGCCAGGAUCAAACUCU
This 517-nucleotide ribosomal RNA is filed under the name uncultured Staphylococcus sp. RNAcentral's name for it is "partial 16S ribosomal RNA". The record is from RNAcentral. Lineage: Bacteria; Bacillati; Bacillota; Bacilli; Caryophanales; Staphylococcaceae.